GUGCUCACUUUGGCAGCACAUAUGUUAAAAUUGGAACCAUACAGAGAAGACUAGCAUGACCCCUGUGCAAGGAUGAUGUGCAAAUUCGUGAAGUGUUCCAUUUUUUU
Small nuclear RNA from Eptesicus fuscus (big brown bat), 107 nucleotides. NCBI's taxonomy places the organism in Eukaryota, Metazoa, Chordata, Mammalia, Chiroptera, Vespertilionidae. The record is from RefSeq and is a predicted model, not a curated record.